UCAUGACCUGAGCCGAAGGCAGACGCUUAACCAACUGAGCCACCUGGACAUCUCCCUUCUCCUCCUCACCCUGCCCUGGAGAUUGUGGUCGCUUUCACAGCAGAGACUUGGGCCUUUUGAUAAUGCCUAGCCCUUCAAGACCCUGCAUGCCACCUCCCGGGGUCGCCCUCCUGGCAGCCCUCCUGAGCUCGUGCGGGUCCCUGAGCCAGGUCCACGCACUGAUGGGAGUGAGAACUACCACAUGUGUACUGGGCAGGACACUCAGAGCUUUAUAUACAUCACCUCCAGUGUUCGCUGGGAGGUUACUGUUAGUCCCACUUCACAGUUGAGAAAACGAGGUAAAAAGAGGUCCAAGCAGCAAGCACCCUGCGCGCAGGGCUGAGCCAGGCCUUGAACAUGGUGUCUGACUCAGGCUCGUGUUCUCUCCACCACGCCACCACCUCCCCCUGUAAGACCUUCUUCCUCUUCCGCAGGGGUACAAACUCCAGAUAAUAGAGGUGCCCGUCCUCUCGGAUGACUCGGCCUCCGUCGGCGUGCUGGGAGGAGACUACUACAGGAAGCUCCUGCGCUACUACAGCAAGGGCCACCCGGCCGAGGCCGUCAAGUGCCACGAGCUGCUGGCCCUCCACCUGUCGGUCAUCCCCACAGACGUGCUGGUGCAGCAGGCCGGCGAGCUGGCCCGGCGCCUGUGGGAGACCUCCCACGUCCCCUUGCUCUAGGCCAGGGCGCCGCAGGCUGGCUGUGCAGCCCGGCCCCCUGCAGAGCAGCCGCUAAGGGUAGGACAGCCCCCCGGCUCUCUUAAAGAAACCACCUAGACUAGGCUCCCCUCCAGGUUCCAAACCCCCAAAUCCUUCUCUUUGGGGGAGGAGGGAGGCCAGGGGGUCCCUUGGUCUCCUUAAAAGAACAGUGGCUGUGAGGUUAGAACUGGGGCACCUGCUUUCAGAGCUGCCUCUGUCUUGAUCCCCAGGAGACAGGACGUCCCUGGGGUCUGCGGGUGUCUGAAGAUACCUCCUUUAUGCUUUCCUUGGAGUGGAGAAAGAGCUUCCUCGGGAAGCCGUUUCCCUCCCCAAAUGCAAGGUGCUGCCUUGGCUGGGUGGGCCACUUCCUCUCUGCAGCUCUGGGCGGGUUUCCGACACUCUACACCCGUUUCCCCUGCGUUCGGAGGGAUAGCACCUACCUCUCAGGGUGGUUGUGAGGGCUGCCCGGCACGCGGCAGGUGCUCAAUAAAUGUUGGUUGUGGUCACUGUUGUUCAAGCCAAACGUG
Leptonychotes weddellii (Weddell seal) is the source of this 1264-nucleotide non-coding RNA. Lineage: Eukaryota; Metazoa; Chordata; Mammalia; Carnivora; Phocidae. The record is from RefSeq and is a predicted model, not a curated record.